GACGAACGCUGGCGGCGUGCUUAACACAUGCAAGUCGAACGGAAAGGCCCUGCUUGCGGGGUACUCGAGUGGCGAACGGGUGAGUAACACGCGGGUGAACUGCCCUCCACUUCGGGAUAAGCCUGGGAGACUGGGUCUAAUACCGGCUAGGAGCCAUUUUUAGUGUGAUGGUUGGAAAGUUUUUUCGGUGUAGGAUGAGCUCGCGGCCUAUCUGCUUGUUGGUGGGGUAAUGGCCUACCAAGGCGGCGACGGGUAGCCGGCCUGGGAGGGUGGACGGCCACAUUGGGACCGAGGUACGGCCCAGACUCCGACGGGGGGCCACAGGGGGGAAGAUUGCACAAUGGGCGCAAGCCUGGUGCAGCGACGCCGCGUGGGGGAUGACUGCCUUCGGGUUGUAAACCCCUUUCGCUAGGGACGAAGCUGUUUGUGACGGUACCUAGAUAAGAAGCACCGGCUAACUACGUG
This 465-nucleotide ribosomal RNA is filed under the name uncultured bacterium. RNAcentral's name for it is "partial 16S ribosomal RNA". It matches the Rfam family "Bacterial small subunit ribosomal RNA", at positions 28 to 507 of the family's 1533-position model. The record is from RNAcentral.